GUGGGGAAUAUUGCGCAAUGGCCGAAAGGUUGACGCAGCGACGCCGCGUGUGGGAGGAAGCCCUUCGGGGUGUAAACCACUGUCAGGGGGGAAGAACCCUGGAGGUAUGAAUAGUGCCUUCAGCUGACGGUACCCCCAGAGGAAGCGCCGGCUAACUCCGUGCCAGCAGCCGCGGUAAGACGGGGGGCGCAAGCGUUGUUCGGAAUUACUGGGCGUAAAGGGCGGGCAGGCGGUCUGUUCAGUCUUUUGUGAAAAUCCGGGGCUCAACCCCGCGAAAUGCAGAAGAUACUGGCAGACUAGAGACCGGUAGAGGCUAGCGGAAUUCCUGGUGUAGCGGUGGAAUGCGUAGAUAUCAGGAAGAACACCUGUGGCGAAGGCGGCUAGCUGGGCCGGAUCUGACGCUCAUCCGCGAAAGCGUGGGGAGCAAACAGG
Molecule: ribosomal RNA, 432 nt
Filed under: uncultured bacterium
Lineage: Bacteria
Description: bacterial SSU rRNA
Rfam family: Bacterial small subunit ribosomal RNA
Source: RNAcentral